AUUUCAACGACGUUUGUUACUUUGUUACAACAAAAGCGCUCUUUUAUCUCUUCUGGAUAAUAUUUAGGCCAAAUGAGAGACAGUCCUGCCCUGACAUGUACCUGAAGAUUUGUAAGAAGCACAAAAAAACAGGAGCAGAUAUGGAUACAUCUCCACCGAAACUUGACCAGGUUAAGCUCUUGGGACCUGGGCAGAGGGCAAAAGCACUCAAUCCCCUGGCUGUGUCCCGAGUGAGACGGACGUGGGACGGAUGUCUGUGAGAGAUAAGACAGAGAAACGGUGGACGAGAGAGAGGAUGCGGCACUGGCGUGUCUGAGAGAUUGAAUGUUCAAUAUGUUCACAUGCCUAUGAUGAUGAUGGUUUCUUCUGGUUUUUAAAUAAAACUUGAUCCUGUACGUCUGCUAAGGUGUUUUUCCUUUGGGGUGAGGGGUGCAGGAGAGGGUCGUCAUGCUAUUCGCUUUGUCUGGCUUAUCUGGUCACCACUGCAGCUCAUCUAUAAAUGACCUUUAUCGCAUUGGCAACACGAGGAAGGGCCGGGAUUAUCAGUUAUUCCCACACCGGUUUCUUUGGGUUGCAAUCAAGAAGUAUUUGAUUGAGAAUUGAUUCAUUUUUGAUUUAAAAAAAAUCUUGAAUUCAGGAAUCUUUUUUGAUUUCUACAAAGAUAUUCUCUUAAAUGAAAGUAAAUCGUACAACAGUUUUUUCUAAUGACGCC
This 712-nucleotide long non-coding RNA is filed under the name Sinocyclocheilus rhinocerous. RNAcentral's name for it is "lncRNA (ENSSRHG00000035793.1)". Lineage: Eukaryota; Metazoa; Chordata; Actinopteri; Cypriniformes; Cyprinidae. The record is from RNAcentral.